UUUGAUUCAGCUGAUGAUAUAUCUUUUCCCCUAUCAGGCUGACACUGUUGAUCUAAAUAAGCAUUAGCCAGUGUGGUUUGACGCAUUGGA
Small nucleolar RNA from Cavia aperea (Brazilian guinea pig), 90 nucleotides. Lineage: Eukaryota; Metazoa; Chordata; Mammalia; Rodentia; Caviidae. The record is from Ensembl.